This 301-nucleotide ribosomal RNA is filed under the name uncultured bacterium. RNAcentral's name for it is "partial 16S ribosomal RNA". It matches the Rfam family "Bacterial small subunit ribosomal RNA", at positions 509 to 807 of the family's 1533-position model. The record is from RNAcentral.
CAGCCGCCGCGGGAAUACAGAGGAUGCAAGCGUUAUCCGGAAUGAUUGGGCGUAAAGCGUCUGUAGGUGGCUUUUCAAGUCCGCCGUCAAAUCCCAGGGCUCAACCCUGGACAGGCGGUGGAAACUACCAAGCUGGAGUACGGUAGGGGCAGAGGGAAUUUCUGGUGGAGCGGUGAAAUGCGUUGAGAUCGGAAAGAACACCAACAGCGAAAGCACUCUGCUGGGCCGACACUGACACUGAGAGACGAAAGCUAGGGGAGCAAAUGGGAUUAGAUACCCCGGUAGUCCCUGUCUCUUAUAC